Molecule: ribosomal RNA, 254 nt
Filed under: uncultured bacterium
Lineage: Bacteria
Description: partial 16S ribosomal RNA
Rfam family: Bacterial small subunit ribosomal RNA
Source: RNAcentral
UACGGGGGGAGCAAGCGUUGUUCGGAUUUACUGGGCGUAAAGGGCGCGUAGGCGGCCACCGCAAGUCGACUGUGAAAUCUCCGGGCUUAACCCGGAAAGGUCAGCCGAUACUGCAGGGCUAGAGUGCAGAAGGGGCAACUGGAAUUCUCGGUGUAGCGGUGGAAUGCGUAGAUAUCGAGAGGAACACCUGCGGCGAAGGCGGGUUGCUGGGCUGACACUGACGCUGAGGCGCGAAAGCUAGGGGAGCGAACGGG